RNAcentral lists this long non-coding RNA (1071 nucleotides) under Homo sapiens (human). RNAcentral describes it as "HSALNT0281893". Lineage: Eukaryota; Metazoa; Chordata; Mammalia; Primates; Hominidae. The record is from RNAcentral.
CCUUGCAGUUUGAUCUCAGACUGCUGUGCUAGCAAUCAGCGAGACUCCGUGGGCGUAGGACCCUCCGAGCCAGGUGCGGGAUGUAAUCUCGUGGUGGGCCGUUUUUUAAGCCCGUCGGAAAAGCGCAGUAUUCGGGUGGGAGUGACCCGAUUUUCCAGGUGCCGUCCGUCACCCCUUUCUUUGACUAGGAAAGGGAACUCCCUGACCCCUUGCGCUUCCCUAGUGAGGCAAUGCCUCGCCCUGCUUCGGCUUGCGCACGGUGCGCGCACCCACUGACCUGCGCCCACUGUCUGGCACUCCCUAGUGAGAUGAACCCGGUACCUCAGAUGGAAAUGCAGAAAUCACCUGUCUUCUGCGACGCUCACACUGGGAGCUGUAGACCGGAGCUGUUCCUAUUCGGCCAUCUUGGCUCCUCCCCAGGAAAAAAUUUCUUAAAGUUGUUUUCUCCACUUUUCUGAUGCUGAUCAAAUUUGAAUUCCCACAUCAUAUUUAUGUAUCUCAAGUAUAUUUGACAAACAGAUGCUGUACUGUAUCUCAGGCCUCUUGCCCAACAAAAUGGUGAACAAGACUCCACCUACUUCAAGGAUUGGGAGAAUAGAGAGUGGAAUGGGAACAACUGGUGUCUAUCAAUGAGAAGAAAGUGCCAACUGAAAACUUUUAGAAAAUACCCAGUUUACUCAAGGAAAAUAACAUGCAUUGAAGGUGAUUGCUCAAUAGAGAGAAGUUGAAACAGCAGACUAAUUGCCUGUUUGUGACACCCAUGUAAUCAACUUGUGUAAAUAGACAGCAUAUCUCUAGACCUGUGGUUAUCAAAAGAGCGUGUGUUAGAAUCACCGGACAGACUUAUGAACAAACGAAAUGCUGGGCCCCAUCUCCAGUGUUCUGACUCUGUAGGUCUGGAGUGGGGCUGAAGAUUUGCCUUUCCAACGAGUUCCAAGUGAUGCUGAGGCUGCUUCUCUGGGGACUAUAUUUUGAGAACUACUGAACUACCAUUCUAGGAGGGUGGGAAAAUGGGUUUUCAUCUUGGAGCACAAAUUAUUUGCAUGAAUUUAAGCAAGUCAUGAAUAUUCU